This 1009-nucleotide long non-coding RNA is filed under the name Pan paniscus (pygmy chimpanzee). RNAcentral's name for it is "lncRNA (ENSPPAG00000045407.1)". Lineage: Eukaryota; Metazoa; Chordata; Mammalia; Primates; Hominidae. The record is from RNAcentral.
AUGCAGUGGCAUGAUCUCGACUCAUUGCAACCUCCACCUCCCAGGUUCAAGUGAUUCUUCUGCCUCAGCCUCCUGACUAGUUGGGAUUACAGGUGCCCAAUACCACGCCUGGCUAAUUUUUUUUUUAUUUUUAGUAGAAAGGGGGUUUCACUGUGUUGGCCAGGCUGGUCUCGAACCCCUGACCUCGUGAUCCGCUCACCUUGGCCUCCCAAAGUGCCGGGAUUGCAGGCGUGAGCCACCGCACCCAGCCUGAAGACUUUUAAAGCAUCAAAGCAUCUUGAAAACACCUGCUGCAGUGUUUUCAAGCUGGGGCCAUGGCAUCCUCAAAACUAAAUGCCCAUCUAACAUUAUCUGCAGGGUGAAUAAAUAAUAGAUGUUCUACUAUUUAUUAAAAAGUGCUACUAGAUUAAUUGUAGUGUUUUCUCAUUUUGUGUCUUUUCAAUUAACAGAUUCUACAAGCCCAAGCUUUUUUAUUGAGGAAUAUACGACAUCUUUUUAAGAUUAAACAAGGUCUUUAAAGCUAAAAUUGAUCCAAUUCAAUCCCUUCAUUGCAGACGAGGAACAGCACUGAGUUCCUGAAAAAGUGCCAAACUGAAUGGUGCAGUCCUGCCAAAAGAGACCCUGCGCUGUGCUGUGUUCUCAAAGGAAGGAAUGUGUUUCACAUCUCUACACCUCUGCAACUUGGGACAGCGUAGCUUUCCUAUUUUCUGGCACCCAAAAAGGGACAGCUGAUACACCCCACUCACUCCAGACUCUGCAGAUGAGAUCUGGGACAACUGACAAAAAGCUGGAGACAGGUAAGAAUUCUUGCCAAGGUCAGCUCUCCUGGAUCUUUAUCAGUAGCACCCCGUGGAGAGAAGAAGGUUAAAAACUUUUUCUUUCCCCUUACUUCCCAAAUUCUGAGUAUCAAGAGAAAAUCAUUUGUUUGAAUUGUGACUCCUAUGUAAAUGUGAUUUGGGGUACCCAUUCAUUAUUGAUCCUUUCCCUCCCAGGGACAGCUAUAACUUUC